AAAUCAGGUAGGACUACCCGCUGAACUUAAGCAUAUCAAUAAGCGGAGGAAAAGAAACCAACAGGGAUUGCCUCAGUAACGGCGAGUGAAGCGGCAAAAGCUCAAAUUUGAAAUCUAGCACCUUUCGUGUUCGAGUUGUAAUUGAGAUGGUAACCUUGGGUUUGG
Molecule: ribosomal RNA, 165 nt
Filed under: [Wickerhamomyces] edaphicus (nom. inval.)
Lineage: Eukaryota; Fungi; Ascomycota; Saccharomycetes; Phaffomycetales; Wickerhamomycetaceae
Description: Wickerhamomyces edaphicus partial 28S ribosomal RNA
Rfam family: Eukaryotic large subunit ribosomal RNA
Source: RNAcentral